GACGAACGCUGGCGGCGUGCUUAACACAUGCAAGUCGAACGGAAAGGCCCUGCUUUUGUGGGGUGCUCGAGUGGCGAACGGGUGAGUAACACGUGAGUAACCUGCCCUUGACUUUGGGAUAACUUCAGGAAACUGGGGCUAAUACCGGAUAGGAGCUCCUGCUGCAUGGUGGGGGUUGGAAAGUUUCGGCGGUUGGGGAUGGACUCGCGGCUUAUCAGCUUGUUGGUGGGGUAGUGGCUUACCAAGGCUUUGACGGGUAGCCGGCCUGGGAGGGUGACCGGCCACAUUGGGACUGAGAUACGGCCCAGACUCCUACGGGAGGCAGCAGUGGGGAAUAUUGCACAAUGGGCGGACGCCUGAUGCAGCAACGCCGCGUGCGGGAUGACGGCCUUCGGGUUGUAAACCGCUUUCGCCUGUGACGAAGCGUGAGUGACGGUAAUGGGUAAAGAAGCACCGGCUAACUACGUG
This 468-nucleotide ribosomal RNA is filed under the name uncultured bacterium. RNAcentral describes it as "partial 16S ribosomal RNA". It matches the Rfam family "Bacterial small subunit ribosomal RNA", at positions 28 to 507 of the family's 1533-position model. The record is from RNAcentral.